CUCAGGAUGAACGCUGGCGGCGUGCUUAACACAUGCAAGUCGAACGAUGACUUUUGUGCUUGCACAGAAUGAUUAGUGGCGAACGGGUGAGUAACACGUGAGUAACCUGCCCCUGACUCUGGGAUAAGCCUGGGAAACUGGGUCUAAUACUGGAUAUGCACCGUAGACCGCAUGGUUUUUGGUGGAAAGAAUUUUGGUCAGGGAUGGACUCGCGGCCUAUCAGCUUGUUGGUGAGGUAAUGGCUCACCAAGGCGACGACGGGUAGCCGGCCUGAGAGGGUGACCGGCCACACUGGGACUGAGACACGGCCCAGACUCCUACGGGAGGCAGCAGUGGGGAAUAUUGCACAAUGGGCGAAAGCCUGAUGCAGCGACGCCGCGUGAGGGAUGACGGCCUUCGGGUUGUAAACCUCUUUCAGUAGGGAAGAAGCGAAAGGACG
RNAcentral lists this ribosomal RNA (439 nucleotides) under Paeniglutamicibacter sulfureus. RNAcentral's name for it is "bacterial SSU rRNA". It matches the Rfam family "Bacterial small subunit ribosomal RNA", at positions 23 to 460 of the family's 1533-position model. The record is from RNAcentral. Lineage: Bacteria; Bacillati; Actinomycetota; Actinomycetes; Micrococcales; Micrococcaceae.